GAGUGGUCUCCCCUUGAGAGAGUGAACAAAAAUGGCUGCCACUACCGUAACGUUUGAAAUCUUCAGUGGAGGAUAAUUCCUAGAUCUACAGUAUACAGCUUUAGACAUGCCGAUUAAGAGACGCAGCCUUCUCGCCAUCACACAACAGCAGCACAGAGGAAACAUCAUCUCGCCCCUGUUUGUCCAUAUCUGCAUUCUACGAUGACUGGGAAACUUUACGUUGUGAUGAUGCUGGUUCUACUAGUUGCUGGCGCAAACGCUCAAUGGGGCACGUGCACCCAGGCCGGAGGGCGAUGCAGCAAUGUCCCCGGGGGUAACCCACAGAUCGGAUGCUGUCGGGGCCUCAUGUGCAAGAUGGUCUCCAUCAACUACAGCACGUGUCAGUACGUUACAGGGCGACGUUGAUAACACUACAUCCACUGUAAUAAACUACUAAACACUU
RNAcentral lists this unclassified non-coding RNA (442 nucleotides) under Haliotis rufescens (red abalone). Its description in RNAcentral is "uncharacterized LOC124126589, transcript variant X1". Lineage: Eukaryota; Metazoa; Mollusca; Gastropoda; Lepetellida; Haliotidae. The record is from RNAcentral.